GAUGAACGCUGGCGGCGUGCCUAAUACAUGCAAGUAGAACGCUGAAGGAGGAGCUUGCUCUUUCCGGAUGAGUUGCGAACGGGUGAGUAACGCGUAGGUAACCUGCCUGGUAGCGGGGGAUAACUAUUGGAAACGAUAGCUAAUACCGCAUAACAGUAGAUAUUGCAUGAUAUUUGCUUGAAAGGGGCAAUUGCUCCACUACCAGAUGGACCUGCGUUGUAUUAGCUAGUUGGUGAGGUAACGGCUCACCAAGGCGACGAUACAUAGCCGACCUGAGAGGGUGAUCGGCCACACUGGGACUGAGACACGGCCCAGACUCCUACGGGAGGCAGCAGUAGGGAAUCUUCGGCAAUGGACGGAAGUCUGACCGAGCAACGCCGCGUGAGUGAAGAAGGUUGUCGGAUCGUAAAGCUCUGUUGUAAGAGAAGAACGAGUGUGAGAGUGGAAAGUUCACACUGUGACGGUAGCUUACCAGAAAGGGACGGCUAACUACGUG
This 496-nucleotide ribosomal RNA is filed under the name uncultured bacterium. RNAcentral describes it as "partial 16S ribosomal RNA". It matches the Rfam family "Bacterial small subunit ribosomal RNA", at positions 28 to 507 of the family's 1533-position model. The record is from RNAcentral.